UACGGGGGGAGCUAGCGUUACUCGGAAUAAUUGGGCGUAAAGGGUAUGUAGGCGGUUGUUAUUAACAUAAUUUUAAAGAUAAUGGAUUUAACCUUUUAUAAAAAUUAUUUGAUUUUUAAACUUGAGUUAAAAAGGAGAUAGUCGUAUUUCUAAUUAAAAGUUAAAAUUUGUUCUAGAUUAUUGAGACGGUCGAUCGGUGUAAACAACUAUCUAUCAUUAAACUGACGCUAAAAUACAAAAGUGUUGGGUCGCGAAUAGG
This 259-nucleotide ribosomal RNA is filed under the name uncultured organism. RNAcentral describes it as "partial 16S ribosomal RNA". It matches the Rfam family "Bacterial small subunit ribosomal RNA", at positions 524 to 776 of the family's 1533-position model. The record is from RNAcentral.